Molecule: long non-coding RNA, 1721 nt
Filed under: Pan troglodytes (chimpanzee)
Lineage: Eukaryota; Metazoa; Chordata; Mammalia; Primates; Hominidae
Description: lincRNA
Source: RNAcentral
UGAAUUAAUUCAACAAACAUUUUCUGGAGCACCGACAAUCUGCCCAGUGCACCAGGCUAGGUAUCUGAUACAAAGAUAAUGAAAACAGUCUCUUGGAACCUAAUUGGGGUCCUCAUUUGACCAGGAAUUUCUUUCGUCCCCUUUUAAGCCAACCAGUUUUGUCCGGACAAGACAAAAACAACUUGGGCUGCUUUAGAGAAGCCCAGCUCAGUGUAGACAAUAGCUGCCCAGCCUCUGAAAGGGGCUGAUUGGAUUAUGUGGCAAAUGGAGGUGCAAGGAUGACUUGGACGGUGACAAAUGAAGUGGGCGGAGACCUGCUUUGAGUUAAUCCAGGCUAUUAGGAGGGGACCUUUUGUCUUCCAGAGACUGGCAGGAGCUUUUACCAGUGGUUUUUACAUCCUUAAUGCUCAGGACGAAUAAUUUAUGGUCAGUGAAAAUCGAGGCCCCAGUGAGAUUCGAGUGGGCUGUAAAAUCGAGAGUCCUGCUCCCAGUGAGUAAUGGUAGUGAAUGUUUCUGUCACUUUUUGCAACCGUCCAUUCAUUUGAUCCUCACAACUCCCUGUCCUGAGCCAGGGCCGGCCACUGCCACUCCCAGGGAAACAGAGGCUGUCAAGAGGCUCCACAGAUUGGGCCCCACUGGAUCAUUGAACCCCUGUUCCCUGAGUUCUAGAGGAAGAAUUGUACCUGUCUCAGUCCCGGCCACCUCCAGAAGGCCUCCCUCUGCAUUUCUGACUUUGCUGUGCCGGCAGCCUGGAGCCUCCCAGGUCCCUGCUGUCAUCUUUUCUAGCCACUACAGUCUCUGUCUUUCCUUUCACAGCCAAGCUUCUUGAAAGGCCUGUCUACACUUGCUGUCUUCCUUCCUCACCUCCAAUUUCCUCUUCAACCCACUGCUUCCUGACUCGCUCUACUCCGUGGAAGCACGCUCACAAAGGGCUAAUCUCGGGCCUUGUUGAAGGAAGAGGCUGCAGACGUUAAUGAGGUUAGCUGCUGGAUUCCAGUAUUCGUCGCAUAAGGAUCCUUCUUUGUCUGCGAAGGAAAAACACACUGAUUAUCAUAAUGAGUUCCUGACCUGGCCCUCCCGGGGUGCCCUUGGCCAGCCCCGUGCCUCCUCAGGGUGUCCCAGCACCAGCCUGGCACAGAGUGGGGCUCAGUUAGAGUAUGUGGGAUGUUGGUUUCGCCAGGCACGUGGGCCGUGGCCCGGCUGGGUCGGCUGAAGAACUGCGGAUGGAAGCUGCGGAAGAGGCCCUGAUGGGGCCCACCAUCCCGGACCCAAGUCUUCUUCCUGGCGGGCCUCUCGUCUCCUUCCUGGUUUGGGCGGAAGCCAUCACCUGGAUGCCUACGUGGGAAGGGACCUCGAAUGUGGGACCCCAGCCCCUCUCCAGCUCGAAAUCCCUCCACAGCCACGGGGACGCCCUGCACCUAUUCCCACGGGACAGGCUGGACCCAGAGACUCUGGACCCGGGGCCUCCCCUUGAGUAGAGACCCGCCCUCUGACUGAUGGACGCCGCUGACCUGGGGUCAGACCCGUGGGCUGGACCCCUGCCCACCCCGCAGGAACCCUGAGGCCUAGGGGAGCUGUUGAGCCUUCGGUGUCUGCAUGUGGGAAGUGGGCUCCUUCACCUACCUCACAGGGCUGUUGUGAGGGGCGCUGUGAUGCGGUUCCAAAGCACAGGGCUUGGCGCACCCCACUGUGCUCUCAAUAAAUGUGUUUCCUGUCUUAAC